Molecule: ribosomal RNA, 639 nt
Filed under: sulfate-reducing bacterium enrichment culture clone M30b
Lineage: Bacteria
Description: bacterial SSU rRNA
Rfam family: Bacterial small subunit ribosomal RNA
Source: RNAcentral
AGCGUUAAGUAAUCCACCUGGGGAGUACGCCGGCAACGGUGAAACUCAAAGGAAUUGACGGGGGCCCGCACAAGCGGAGGAACAUGUGGUUUAAUUCGAUGAUACGCGAGGAACCUUACCCGGGUUUGAACGUAGGGAGACAGGGGUGGAAACAUCCUUUUCAGCAAUGACUGCCUACGAGGUGCUGCAUGGUUGUCGUCAGCUCGUGCCGUGAGGUGUCGGCUUAAGUGCCAUAACGAGCGCAACCCUUAUUUCCAGUUACUAACAGGUGAAGCUGAGGACUCUGGAGAGACUGCCAGCGUAAGCUGUGAGGAAGGUGGGGAUGACGUCAAAUCAGCACGGCCCUUACAUCCGGGGCGACACACGUGUUACAAUGGUAAGGACAAAGGGCAGCUACCGGGCGACCGGAUGCUAAUCUCUAAACCUUAUCUCAGUUCGGAUCGGAGUCUGCAACUCGACUCCGUGAAGCUGGAUUCGCUAGUAAUCGCGCAUCAGCCAUGGCGCGGUGAAUACGUUCCCGGGCCUUGUACACACCGCCCGUCAAGCCAUGGGAGCCGGGGGUACCUGAAGUUCGUAACCGCAAGGAUCGACCUAGGGUAAAACUGGUGACUGGGGCUAAGUCGUAACAAGGUAAGUAUU